This is a long non-coding RNA of Saccostrea cuccullata (small rock oyster), 217 nucleotides long. RefSeq lists it as uncharacterized. The transcript has 3 exons. NCBI's taxonomy places the organism in Eukaryota, Metazoa, Mollusca, Bivalvia, Ostreida, Ostreidae. The record is from RefSeq and is a predicted model, not a curated record.
CUUGAUGUCCACUUGUAACAGCACAGACACAAUACACUGAAAAAGAAUGUGAGAUGUACAUAGUCUUGGUUGUGAUAAAAUCCCAGAAACAACAGUGCUUGGUGUGCACUUGCUUGCAGCAUAAACACAUUGAAGAAGAGAAUAUGAGGAGCAUUAAGUGGCAUGGAGUCAAGAGUUCAUUCAGUUGCACUCAGAUCACAUUCUGAAUGAAUACUGC